GCCGUCAUAGCUCAGUAGGUAGAGCAGCUAACUCGUAAUUAGCAGGUCACAAGUUCAAUUCUUGUUGUCGGCACCA
This 76-nucleotide transfer RNA is filed under the name Firmicutes bacterium CAG:313. Its description in RNAcentral is "transfer RNA-Thr(CGT)". It matches the Rfam family "tRNA". Rfam says of the family: Transfer RNA (tRNA) molecules are approximately 80 nucleotides in length. Their secondary structure includes four short double-helical elements and three loops (D, anti-codon, and T loops). Lineage: Bacteria; Bacillati; Bacillota. RNAcentral also lists the same sequence under 2 other names. The record is from RNAcentral.